Esox lucius (northern pike) is the source of this 1092-nucleotide long non-coding RNA. The record is from Ensembl. Lineage: Eukaryota; Metazoa; Chordata; Actinopteri; Esociformes; Esocidae.
CGAUUUCAGAGGAUUUGAUUGGUGUAAAAUGACAGUUUGAAUCUAGCAUAUUCAAAUUGCUUACAGCUGUCAAACCUUUCCAUGUGCGUAGGAGGUUGUUUACAUCUAUGUUUGUGAUUGGUCCAGACAAUCGUGCUACAUUCCUAUCUGAGCCUUGUGUAAUGUUCCCUCCCACUGAAAAGGUGUCUGGGCGGGGCCUACAUUUUGUCCGUCAAUCAAUCAACAAAUAAACGACCAGGUUCACACUCGCAUCAUGUGAUUAGGGAACCCCGUCUGCCACCCAAAAUGGCAAACUUUUCCACAAAGAGCCGUGCUAUAACUGGUGCACUAUGUAAGGAAUAGGGUGCAUAACUGGUGCACUAUGUAAGGAAUAGGGUGCAUAACUGGUGCACUAUGUAAGGAAUAGGGUGUAUAACUGGUGCACUAUGUAAGGAAUGGGGUGCAUAACUGGUGCACUAUGUAAGGAAUAGGGUGUAUAACUGGUGCACUAUGUAAGGAAUAGGGUGUAUAACUGGUGCACUAUGUAAGGAAUGGGGUGCAUAACUGGUGCACUAUGUAAGGAAUAGGGUGUAUAACUGGUGCACUAUGUAAGGAAUAGGGUGUAUAACUGGUGCACUAUGUAAGGAAUAGGGUGUAUAACUGGUGCACUAUGUAAGGAAUAGGGUGUAUAACUGGUGCAUUAUGGAAGGAAUGGGGUGCAUAACUGGUGCACUAUGUAAGGAAUAGGGUGUAUAACUGGUGCACUAUGUAAGGAAUAGGGUGCAUAACUGGUGCAUUAUGGAAGGAAUGGGGUGUAUAACUGGUGCAUUAUGGAAGGAAUAGGGUGCAUAACUGGGGCACUAUGUAAGGAAUAGGGUGUAUAACUGGUGCAUUAUGUAGGGAAUAGGGUCUGGUUUGUAACGCUGCCUUGUGCCCAUCUCCAUCAAGCCAACACUACUAUCAAAUGUUUCCUGAUACUUAUUCGUUUAAAGUAAUUAAUCUUAUAUACUUAACAUUUAGGUGUUGGUAUAGUACAUGUGGUUCUCACUGUUAAAGAAUAAAAGAAACCAUUGAAUUGCGAUUGAUGUACUUUUGUUUCAAUAAAAAAUAUGG